RNAcentral lists this ribosomal RNA (422 nucleotides) under uncultured Sphingobacterium sp. RNAcentral's name for it is "bacterial SSU rRNA". It matches the Rfam family "Bacterial small subunit ribosomal RNA", at positions 9 to 424 of the family's 1533-position model. The record is from RNAcentral. Lineage: Bacteria; Pseudomonadati; Bacteroidota; Sphingobacteriia; Sphingobacteriales; Sphingobacteriaceae.
GAGUUUGAUCGUGGCUCAGAGCGAACGCUGGCGGCAUGCUUAACACAUGCAAGUCGAGGGGCAGCAAGGGUAGCAAUACCUGUUGGCGACCGGCAAACGGGUGCGGAACACGUACAGAACCUACCUCAAAUCUGGGGCAUAGCCCGGAGAAAUCCGGAUUAAACUCCCCAUAACAUAUAUGAGUGGCAUCACUUGAAUAUUAAAAAUUUAUUGGAUUGAGAUGGCUGUGCGUCCCAUUAGCUAGUUGGUAGGGUAACGGCCUACCAAGGCGACGAUGGGUAGCUGGUGUGAGAGCACGACCAGCCACACGGGCACUGAGACACGGGCCCGACUCCUACGGGAGGCAGCAGUAAGGAUAUUGGUCAAUGGACGCAAGUCUGAACCAGCCAAUGCCGCGUGGAGGAUGAAGGCCCUCUCGGGUU